ACCUGUGCCUGUCCUCCCCGCAAAGUGAGAGCUCCUAAUUGGACCGUGAAACAUCCUCGCUGCCCGGAACCGCCCCCCGACCCAAAGGCCGCCGCUGCUAUUCAAAGAAUGUUGGGAACCAGAACCCAGUAAGAGUGUGUGGAGUGAGUAAACUGGCCUCAGCCCUAAGGCGCUGCUAUCUACAAAGCUUGCGUUAGUCACAAGAGGAACUUUAAACGUAUUGACGCCCGGCAUCUGUACAGACGUUCUGAUGUCCCUGGUACUGGCUGUGACCCUGCCCAGUAGUUUUUUUUUUUUUUAAGAAAAUGCAAAAGUUAAUCUAAUUGACUGCAUAGUGACCCCACUACCCUGAGGAUUAGUCAAGUCUGGUGAUUCUCUUAAGGAAGUUCCCUGGCUUUUUAAAACUAUGCCUACUUCAUCCUGAGUAACCCUGAAAAGAAAUGAGUAAUUCUCCUUACAAUACUUCCUCUUCGUCCCAGUCGGGCAUGGGGUUGUCUUGUUUACCUUAAAGAAAGCUGUAUAUUUAGCACUUGGCACAGCACCACCAGCACCUACCAGAGGCAGCCUUGUCCUCUCAUGCCUCCCUGCCCCUAGGUUACUAAGACUGCUUGGCACCCGAGUGAAUGGAUGGAUGAAUGAAUGAAUGGAUGAAUGGUCGGUCUGACCCACUACUUUGGUUAAUGGCUGGGUGAAAAACAAAAUAGGUGAGAAGGUUGCUGGCUCCUAACAGCCUGAAGCCACACCUGCUGAGAACUGGGUGGCCCUCCCCACAUUCCUUCUAGGCUUUUCUGAGGUGAGAGUAAAAGGCUUGCAUAAAUGUACAGACAACUGCACAGGCUGACCGGACGCCUCUCCCACACUGCCCACAGCUCACUUCUUGUGUGUGUACAAGCAGUGCUUGAACCAGGGCAGCCCCUGACUCUCAAGUGUCGGGACUGGCUCCAAAAUAAGUGUUCAGGCCAAGAGACAGAGAAUUUGAUUGCCCCUGGCUCCCCAGCCAAGGUCUGCAUUAAGCACUGUUUGCCUUAUCUCAGGUGUAGGGACAGUCCGUAAAAAGAAGGUCCUGGGUACCUCAUUAUUAAAAAUAUAGACAGUGCAACUUAUUUCUAGAAUAUGAUGGGAUAUAUCACGGUUAUAAUAACAUACUAAUGCCAGGAUUAUAGGAUUCCAAUAGCUUGACCCUGAAAAUAUCUUACUGGGACUGGUCAGAGGGAUCAUGGUUGAGCAUAUUAGAAACGACCACGUAAGCCGCUUCAACCCCCCACUGCUCCUAAGAUAAGUAGACUGUAGCACGCGCUGGCGGCUGAAACAGCUUCCCCCUUGUGAGGAGAUCCAGAGAGCCGUAUUCUGGUCCAGUUAGUUACUGGUUACGGGAAGAGGCUCCUCCUCCCCUUUCCCCAUAGCUCAAGGUCUGCUCACGCUCUAAUCAAACACCUUAGAUCGAUUUGACUGAGCAUGUUAUCUUCCUUCCCUGAAAACCAACGUAGUAGUCCGUCAAUGCUCAUUUGAAAAGUCACCUUCUCUGGGUGGGGCUCCCAGCCAUGACUGUCCCUUCCCUCUUUGUGGCCCCAAGUACCUACUAAUAACUGCACAUCAUCUAAAUCUAUCAAAACUUUCGAAAAGCAAACCCUUGUUUGAUUUCUUGUCCCCCUAGAAUGUGGUAUCGUAGCUCAGACAACGUCGAAAAAUCCUUCUGUUUCUCAACUAUCGUCUCGGCUAAGACCGGAGUCCUGCUGCCUCAAUACCAAUGUAAACACCCAUCUGCAGAGGGUGCCAGCUACAGUAAUCACUAUGGAACCUCCUUCUCUCUAGGGCCCUGAGAUCAAGUCCAGCUUUCUCAAUGGUCCAGACAAGGCAAGACCCACCCUUCUUUGGGGAGCACUGCCACAUCUUGCCCUCCCUCUGCUCAUGACCUGGUUUCAACUUUAAGAAACCAGAAUCCACCAGACAGGCCUUCCCAGCAUUUUCCCAGGAAAAUGGCUCCCAGUAGAAGAAAACCAAGGUUUGUGGCCAUUGGCUCUUGCCAUCUCCAUUCAACAUCUCCCUUGGUCACCGUCAAUUUCUUGUUCCGUGCCUGAUCAUUUCUGUCGUCAUGCAAACACACUGUGCACCUCUCGUUCCAAGAAAGCUGUCGCCGCAUCCUUUCACAAGGCAAUUGGGUGAGGCGGGUGUUGGAAGAGCUCUCUACACUCCGAAGAACAAUAAAGGAAGCAAAAAAGCAGGAAACUGUCUGAGGAUGUGCCUGCUAAAGGGAAAAGAUGGCGUGCACCAUGCAUGGGACACAAGAAACAAAGAAGUGCCAAGGGGAGAGCUCACUGCACUCACCCAGUGGGGCAGCCAGAGAGCCAGGACGACAUGGUAGAAAGGAAGCAAAAAGCCAGGAGGGGAAAAGGCAGAAGCUGUAAAGGCUUGAACUAGUGAGGCAGCACCUGCCUCUGAGGGUAAACACGGGUUAGGAAUGGGAGAAAGUGAGAGAUGAGAACCUACGAUCCAGAUGUCGGCCUUGGCAGCUGGGUAAGUGGGGGCCCUCUUUGGGACGGGGAUGGUUGGGGAAGGAACGUAAUAGCCUGGUACAAAUCCAUAGUCUGACUUUCUAAUUUUCUCUCUAAAUGGAGAUUUCCAAUAGACAACUGGAUAUAUGGAUCUGGAGGUCAGAACCGAAAGUAAAAAUCAGAGAGAAAUUAGGGGAGUCAAUAUAAACAAUACCAUAUACCAUAUGCACUAGCUGGGCAAGGUGGUGGCACGUGCCUUCAGUCCCAGCGCUCGGGAUCUGGAAGCAGAUCUCUUUGAGUUCGAGGCUUUCCUGGUUCACAAAGUGAGUUCAAGCCAAGAGUCUCAAAAUUAAAUAAGCAAUAGGAUAAAAGGUACUCCAUCUAUUGGGAUUUUCUAGGGAAAAAAGAGAGAGAGGGAGAAAGAACCCAGCAGUAGGGUGUGAGUGUAAAGGGGCUGUGGAGUUAGAAGGGAACCAGUUAACAGUUAGGGCUCUCGCUUGAGAAGUGAGGCCAAAGAUCAGGAGUUCAAGGUUAUCCUUAGCCUGGGAGUUUGAGGCCAGCCAAGACUAUAAGAGACCCUGUCUCUACAUAAAAGAACCCACUGGCUCAGUGACUUAGAAGGUCAACAAAUCCCCAGCCACAGGCCAGAGAUUUGAGUGCCACUGCUCCCUCCCUGCUGCCUGAGGAAGCAGGGAGGGCUCUUCCUCUCUAGUGGGCCUCUGGCUUUUCUCUGGGGGCCGUGAGGUAGCUGGAUGAAUCGUACACGCAUGUGCGCCUUCUGGGAGGUAAUCUUCACUCUGAGUCUACUGAGUUUAAUGUUAAUUACACUUCUAAAAUCCCUUCGCAGCAGCAUCUAGUGUUUAACUAAAGGAGUGGGUGACCACAGCUGGGUCAAGUUGACACGGAAGGUUAAUUCUCACACUCUGGUACUAGAUAAAAGUCACCCAGGGAGCAAGUAGAUUUAGGGGGAUGAGGGUGGCCCAGAGACAGCCCUGAAUGCCAAAUUACAGAGAGAAAAAGGAACUGGCCCAGGGGGAAGGAGCUAGAGGAUGCAGGAAGAAGACAAAGACGAUAAAGUCUCUCGGAAGCCAAUGGAAAGUGCUCCUGUUUAAGGAGGGGACUUCUAUGACAAGGGCACGGAACAGGAAGGGAACUGGAGCUGACAGGCAGGGCCAACUCCUUCAUUCUGAACAGCGAAAAGCAGGGAGUGCAGACAGAGGAUGAGAGCAACAGUGUCGGGGUCUCCUGCUGGUAUCUUUGUUCCUCUAAGAAGGGGAUGAUUAGAGCAAGCUGUCAUACUGGCAGAACUGAGGGAAUAAUCCAGACACGGUAAUGUGGCCAGUCCCUCAGAGAAAAGGACAAGGUGACUGCAGAGCCACCCUCUUGAAACAGACAUUUAUUACUCAGUGGGGCUUGGAAGUAAAACCCAGGUGAUAUUCUAACUUGAGGCAAGUUCCUCAGUUCCCCCAACUCCUUUAUCUCCUCUCCACAGGGUCCCCUGUGGCCCUUCCACUUCCUCAUCUAACCCAAACCUCCCCUUCAUCCCAGUCAUUAGCCCGCCCUCCAUCCCUUUAAUUACCGACUCCCAAGUACUCCACAAAUCCAGUUCCAACCUGUCUUCCCCCAGGAUGCCAUCAAAGAGGCCAGUCCUAUGAAAUGUGUCACAGUGCCAGGCAGUCAUUCAACGUGGCGAUCACACUGUUGCGAUUAUGUUUUAUUUAUGAUUGUUUGAUCAGUGCCCGCCUCCUCUGGAAUGGCAGGGUCAGUCAGCUUUCAAGGUGACAGUGAUGUCUAUCUGUGCUCCCCCACCUCGGUGUACAAGUAACUCCUGAGCUCUUAAAAGAUGGAUCCAUCGGGGCUGGGGAUUUAGCUCAGUGGUAGAGCGCUUACCUAGGAAGCGCAAGGCCCUGGGUUCGGUCCCCAGCUCCGAAAAAAAGAACCAAAAAAAAAAAAAAAAAAGAUGGAUCCAUUUAUUUUAUUUAAAUCUAAUUGAUUUAAAUGUAAACAGCCUCGAGGGAAUCAGGGACUGCAAUUCCUAUUUUAACCACUGUAUGCCCAGCACCCAAUGCAGUGUGCACACAUAGUGACUGGAGUUCAGUAAAUAUUUGUCCAGAGCUUAAAUCUGUAGAUUGGGGAUAUCGCUAGUUAAUUUAUAUCCAUUGUAUCUUUUCCAUAUAGGGGAAAAAUGUUUUCCACAGGACAAAUGUCAGGGGGUCUCCUACAGUUCCAGAGAGGUGAAUUUCACUUUUCAGAGCACGGUCCAUCUCAAGGGGAAGCUGGGACAACAGGGAAAACACCCUGGUCGUCUGAAUGGAAUUCCGUCUGUAAUCUUCUUGGGAAGUGCCUGGAGCGUGGGGAAUGCCCAAAUGUGCUGGUCCACAAGCUCCACUGAGAGCACAGAAGGGAACCAGAUGCUGGUGUGCCAUCACAGGAGAGGGCUCCUAAGCCGAGCGGCCUUAACCCAAAGCCUGAGAAAUAACAGACAAAGAGAACGGAGCUGAGAACGGUGAGAGGAGCUGAGUUUGUUGGCCCUCAGCUACGAGAACAGGGCCGAGGCUACCCCAGCGCUAUAAUACUGAGCUACCUCACCAGCAAAAUGUCCCAGGCGGAGCAAGCAACAGGCAAAAAGGUAUUGAGGUCUUAGGAAGGAAACAGUACAUCUCUGUGUAAAGGGAGGCAAAACAGAGACACACUGGAUCCCAUCUGUAGAUCAAAGCCAAGGAAGUGUUUGGCCCAUUUCUGCACACGCUCGAUGAAUCCCCAUAGGAUUCUAAAAAAAAAAAAAAAAAAAAAAACGAGGGCUGUAGAAAGUUAAGGUUUUUAUCAAAGCAGGUAAUGCUAAGAGUUCGGGUAAAAAUCCAGGGUUCCCCUGGGCAUAGUGGUGCAUACCUUUAAUCCUAGCCCUUGGGGGGCACAGUUCAAGGUCUCUGAGUUUUAGGUCAGCCUGAGCUACAGUAAGUUCUAGGUCAGGUAUGGCUACACAGUGAAGAUCUUCUCUCACAAACAACAUGACUCAGCAGUUAAGAGCGCUGGCUGCUCUUCCAGAAGACCCGGCUUCGAUGCCCAGCACCCACAACUCCAGUUCCGGUGAAUCUGAUGCCCUCUUCUGGUCCUCCGAGGGCCCUGGGCACACACCGAGGGCACAGACAUGCAUGCAAGCACUUAACCAUACACAAACAUUUUUAAAGUUUUUCUUUAAAACAACAAACAAAGAGCUCGAGGGGUUCCUAUCUAUAAACCCAUCGUUUCACAGUUAAUUACUAUACAGGGAGGAAUGAAAAUUAUAAAAAGCAACAUGCUAAAGAUACAAAAACAGCAGUAGCUUUCUGACAAGGGCCAAAGAAGAUUUUGUCCACACAGCAUCCAUCCUGGGAACUCUGAAAUCCAACCCUGGUAACCAUGACCCCACGAAGACAUCUCCCCUCAGACACAGUCUGUCCCCCUCCUUUCUCCUAUGGGGUUGCAUUCAGGACAUCUUUUCUCACUUCUCCCGCUGCCUGAGGGCCUGUUAGCCUCUCCACAGUCCUCGCCACAGCCCCUGGAGAUUAGUGCCAUCUCCAUUCACAGAUGACUAACUCCAGGGUGGGUGACACAGUGAGUCCUCUCUCUACCCCGCACUAUCUGCUUGAGGGGCUAAUCUUUGUUUCCCUGAUGCCUGGGGUGCACACUCCAUGAGGAGACACACUGCAGGUUUGACUGAAUCUGACUUUUCUGGGUUUUGUGGGGGGGGGGGUGCUUUUAGGUGUUAAUGGAGAGAACCGUGCAGCAAGGGUGAAGGAGCCCUGACUUGUAGCACAUGCCAGAGUCCGAGGUAUAAAUACUUCAAGCUACCAGCUUAGGCACAAAGUCCCUGAGUGUGUAACGGCGGCUUCCCUAGCUGGCAGGAGCUCUUGGGUACCAGCUGUCUGCCUCUCUGUCUCUUCUUCCAGCAGCUCUGUACUCAGACCUCCCUGCAUCCUCAGACAACACGAUGCAGACUGUUCUCCUGAGGCUUAACUGGCCGGCAUGCUACACUAUCCCAGCUCCUAAUGUGCUCUGGAACCCGAUAUCCUGCUUUCAAUGGGGCCUGUUCCCUCUUGCACAAGUCUCCAGGCCGUGCCCACUGCUGCGGCUCCUUGUAGUAGAGGGGGAAACCUGCUCUGAAACCACGGUCUGGCCUUUCUGCUAGCGAGCUGUGUGCCCUUGGGCACAUCCUGGUACACCUCUGUGCCUCAGUUUACUCAUCUGUAACGUGCUGAUAAAUAACAUGUAUACCUCAUGUGGUGGUUGUGAGAUGAGGUAUUGGAAAGCCCAAGAAUGUGAUGGGUAAUCAAUAUUUGCAUGCACAGCGUUCUUCUGACAUGGCCUGAAGCUGGAAAGCUUUCAUAAACUCCUUCCAUGAGUCAUUCACAGGAACUAUCAACAACGUAUUAUAUUACACCAGACCCUGUCCAUGAUCUAAUCCAAAGGACACAUCCCCAGUCUAUAUGAAGCAUGCCGUUUUAUUUAAUUUUUUUUUGAGACACUCUCACAUAGCCCAGGCUGGCCUUGAACUCACUAUGUACUGAGAUUUCAGGGAUGAGGGGCUGGAUGGCAAACCCAGUGUUUCCCGCAGGCGAGGCAAGAACCCUGUCCACUGAUCUGCACCCCCAGCCCCAAGCGUGCUGCUUCCUCCAGGGCACACGCUCAUUCCUCAGAGCUUGUCGUUC
Molecule: small RNA, 7180 nt
Filed under: Rattus norvegicus (Norway rat)
Lineage: Eukaryota; Metazoa; Chordata; Mammalia; Rodentia; Muridae
Description: uncharacterized LOC108351425
Source: RNAcentral